Non-coding RNA from Vicia faba (fava bean), 372 nucleotides. The record is from the annotation of a GenBank genome assembly. NCBI's taxonomy places the organism in Eukaryota, Viridiplantae, Streptophyta, Magnoliopsida, Fabales, Fabaceae.
AUGUCAACCUCACAUCUUGGACACAGGCACGGUGAAAAGGGUCUUCACUCUUGUGCGAAAUUGGCCAUUGUUAUAUCUGUUAUGCGUCAACUUUCUAUUUCUUGUUGCGCUUUCGUUUCUCAGAUCGAUGAAAUCGAUAGUGCUUUCAGUUUUUCUGGUCUGUUGGCUUUGACUGAUGCAGUUUUUCUGUUUGUUGGUUUUGGUUUGAUGCAGUUCUUCUGUUUGUUGGUCUUGACUGAUGCAGUUUUCUGUUUGUUGGUUUUGACUGAUGCAGUUUGUUUUUGGUCUGUUGAAGGGAGACUGCGGUUAUGGUGUUUGCAGGGAUUUGAGAGUUGUGUAUUAAGCAGAGGUUUAGCAAGCUCUUUGAGGUGA